CAGUCGCCGCGGUAAUACGUAGGUGGCGAGCGUUGUCCGGAAUCAUUGGGCGUAAAGGGAGCGCAGGCGGGCAUGUAAGUCUUUCUUAAAAGUGCGGGGCUCAACCCCGUGAUGGGAAAGAAACUAUGUGUCUUGAGUACAGGAGAGGAAAGCGGAAUUCCCAGUGCAGCGGUGAAAUGCGUAGAUAUUGGGAGGAACACCAGUGGCGAAGGCGGCUUUCUGGACUGCAACUGACGCUGAGGCUCGAAAGCCAGGGGAGCGAACGGGAUUAGAUACCCCAGUAGUCCCUGUCUCUUAUACC
RNAcentral lists this ribosomal RNA (301 nucleotides) under uncultured bacterium. RNAcentral describes it as "partial 16S ribosomal RNA". It matches the Rfam family "Bacterial small subunit ribosomal RNA", at positions 509 to 808 of the family's 1533-position model. The record is from RNAcentral.